Molecule: ribosomal RNA, 275 nt
Filed under: Parabacteroides distasonis
Lineage: Bacteria; Pseudomonadati; Bacteroidota; Bacteroidia; Bacteroidales; Tannerellaceae
Description: partial 16S ribosomal RNA
Rfam family: Bacterial small subunit ribosomal RNA
Source: RNAcentral
CAAUUUAAACAACGAAGAGUUUGAUCCUGGCUCAGGAUGAACGCUAGCGACAGGCUUAACACAUGCAAGUCGAGGGGCAGCGGGGUGUAGCAAUACACCGCCGGCGACCGGCGCACGGGUGAGUAACGCGUAUGCAACUUGCCUAUCAGAGGGGGAUAACCCGGCGAAAGUCGGACUAAUACCGCAUGAAGCAGGGGUCCCGCAUGGGGAUAUUUGCUAAAGAUUCAUCGCUGAUAGAUAGGCAUGCGUUCCAUUAGGCAGUUGGCGGGGUAACG